UACGGGAGGCAGCAGUAGGGAAUCUUCCGCAAUGGACGAAAGUCUGACGAAGCAACGCCGCGUGAGUGAUGAAGGUUUUCGGAUCGUAAAACUCUGUUGUUAGGGAAGAACAAGUACCGUUCGAUUAGGGCGGUACCUUGACGGUACCUAACCAGAAAGCCCCGGCUAACUACGUGCCAGCAGCCGCGGUAAUACGUAGGUGGCAAGCGUUGUCCGGAAUUAUUGGGCGUAAAGCGCGCGCAGGCGGUUUUUUAAGUCUGAUGUGAAAGCCCCCGGCUCAACCGGGGAGGGUCAUUGGAAACUGGGGAACUUGAGUGCAGAAGAGGAGAGUGGAAUUCCACGUGUAGCGGUGAAAUGCGUAGAGAUGUGGAGGAACACCAGUGGCGAAGGCGACUCUCUGGUCUGUAACUGACGCUGAGGCGCGAAAGCGUGGGGAGCGAACAGGAUUAGAUACCCUGGUAGUCCACGCCGUAAACGAUGAGUGCUAAGUGUUAGAGGGUUUCCGCCCUUUAGUGCUGCAGCAAACGCAUUAAGCACUCCGCCUGGGGAGUACGGUCGCAAGACUGAAACUCAAAGGAAUUGACGGGGGCCCGCACAAGCGGUGGAGCAUGUGGUUUAAUUCGAAGCAACGCGAAGAACCUUACCAGGUCUUGACAUCCUCUGACAACCCUAGAGAUAGGGCUUCCCCUUCGGGGGCAGAGUGACAGGUGGUGCAUGGUUGUCGUCAGCUCGUGUCGUGAGAUGUUGGGUUAAGUCCCGCAACGAGCGCAACCCUUGAUCUUAGUUGCCAGCAUUCAGUUGGGCACUCUAAGGUGACUGCCGGUGACAAACCGGAGGAAGGUGGGGAUGACGUCAAAUCAUCAUGCCCCUUAUGACCUGGGCUACACACGUGCUACAAUGGGCAGAACAAAGGGCAGCGAAGCCGCGAGGCUAAGCCAAUCCCACAAAUCUGUUCUCAGUUCGG
RNAcentral lists this ribosomal RNA (964 nucleotides) under Bacillus licheniformis. RNAcentral's name for it is "bacterial SSU rRNA". It matches the Rfam family "Bacterial small subunit ribosomal RNA", at positions 340 to 1296 of the family's 1533-position model. The record is from RNAcentral. Lineage: Bacteria; Bacillati; Bacillota; Bacilli; Caryophanales; Bacillaceae.